AGGAGAUAUAUUACAAAGAAAGAAGAGCAUCGAGCCCUUGAAAUGCAAAACUACUUAGGGUUAGCCAAAAACACUGGAAAUUUUGAUCCUGAAAGACAGGUGGAAGGAGAGAUUUUCAGGAUAGGGAUGAUCUUGGAGGACAUUAAAGAGCAGAUGGAUAAAAACGCACACAGUCGGCUCUCCUCAGCCACGUGCUCUUCUAGCCCUUCGCCAUUACUGCUUUCGGACCCCAUCACCCCAUCGCGGCAUUCAUUCCCCAAGAAGUGUCAUUCUCCAGGCAAGGCUGAGGGGGGGGGCAGCUCAGUGUGUGGAGCUAUUGGACCUUCUGAGAACAGACCACCCAUUCAUGCAGGUUCUUUAAAACAUUGUGCUGGUCACAGGUAUGUCCAUAUCAGAUUUGUAUUUUGUCCUCUGCUGCUUCACAUACUGUUCGCAUAACAUUUGCAACAGAAAUAUUUAUAACUUUUUAUAAGAAAAUAGCUUUUUGAGCCUUAAAAUGUCUCACUGGUGACUAACUAGAGAAGAAAAGAGUGAGGGGGUGUACGUUUUUUUUCACCAGUGGAAGCAUGCUGGUGGACGUUGAAAGCAGAGAGU
This is a long non-coding RNA of Scleropages formosus (Asian bonytongue), 594 nucleotides long. RefSeq lists it as uncharacterized. Lineage: Eukaryota; Metazoa; Chordata; Actinopteri; Osteoglossiformes; Osteoglossidae. The transcript has 3 exons. The record is from RefSeq and is a predicted model, not a curated record.